GUGGGUCAUGCAGUGUCUAAUUCUCCCAGAGAGCUCACCUGGUCCAGCACCAGCUGCCCCCACACAGGGGACGAGCUCUGCAAGGGCUCCGACUGCAGCCACCUCUUCCACCUGAGGAGGGCGCUGUCCACGCACAUAUGCGGAUGUGUGCACAGAUGUGGGUGCCAGUUUGCAUUCCCCUCCCUUGUGGCCACCACCAGGCACAUGCACUUGGGUGAGCACUGCCACCACUGCCUACAGUGUGGCACUCCCCUUGCUGACUGGGAAACUUGCUCCAGCACCAGCUUAUCCAUGCAGGAGAGAAGCCCUACUGGUGCUUUGACUGUGUGUGGUGCGUGCACCAAAGAGGCUCCCUUGGCCAUUCAUAGGCACACGCAUACAGGUGAGAAGCCUCAGUCCUGCUCUGAGUGUGGCAUCUGCUUCU
Molecule: long non-coding RNA, 424 nt
Filed under: Homo sapiens (human)
Lineage: Eukaryota; Metazoa; Chordata; Mammalia; Primates; Hominidae
Description: non-protein coding lnc-ZNF785-4:1
Source: RNAcentral